Molecule: ribosomal RNA, 497 nt
Filed under: uncultured bacterium
Lineage: Bacteria
Description: partial 16S ribosomal RNA
Rfam family: Bacterial small subunit ribosomal RNA
Source: RNAcentral
GAUGAACGCUGGCGGCGUGCCUAAUACAUGCAAGUCGAGCGAACGGACGAGAAGCUUGCUUCUCUGAUGUUAGCGGCGGACGGGUGAGUAACACGUGGAUAACCUACCUAUAAGACUGGGAUAACUUCGGGAAACCGGAGCUAAUACCGGAUGAUAUUUUGAACCGCAUGGUUCAAAAGUGAAAGACGGUCUUGCUGUCACUUAUAGAUGUAUCCGCGCUGCAUUAGCUAGUUGGUAAGGUAACGGCUUACCAAGGCAACGAUGCAUAGCCGACCUGAGAGGGUGAUCAGCCACACUGGAACUGAGACACGGUCCAGACUCCUACGGGAGGCAGCAGUAGGGAAUCUUCCGCAAUGGGCGAAAGCCUGACGGAGCAACGCCGCGUGAGUGAUGAAGGUCUUCGGAUCGUAAAACUCUGUUAGUAGGGAAGAACAGAUGUGUAAGUAACUGUUCACAUCUUGACGGUACCUAAACAGAAAGCCACGGCUAACUACGUG